AGGCUACUGCUAUCGGAGUUCGGCUAAGCCAUGCGAGUCGAGGGUGCUCCUUCGGGGGUAACCCGGCGGACGGCUCAGUAACACGUGGAUAACCUACCCUUAGAACUGGGAUAACCCCGGGAAACUGGGGAUAAUACCGGAUAGGUCAUCGAUGCUGGAAUGCACGGUGACUCAAAGCUCUGGCGUCUAAGGAUGGGUCUGCGUCCGAUUAGGCUGUUGCCGGGGUAAUGUCCCGGCAAACCUGUAAUCGGUACGGGUUGUGAGAGCAAGAGCCCGGAGAUGGAUUCUGAGACGCGAAUCCAGGCCCUACGGGGCGCAGCAGGCGCGAAACCUUUACAAUGCACGAAAGUGUGAUAAGGGAACUCCGAGUGUCGGCAUAUAUGUCGACUGUCCAGAUACCUAAAAAGCAUCUGAUAGCAAGGGCCGGGUAAGACCGGUGCCAGCCGCCGCGGUAACACCGGCGGCUCGAGUGGUAGCCACUAUUAUUGAGUCUAAAGCGUCCGUAGCCGGUCUGAAAAGUCCUUUGGGAAAUCCUACAGCUUAACUGUCGGGCUUCCAAGGGAUACUCUUAGACUUGGGACCGGAAGAGGUUGGAGGUACUUCAGGAGUAGGAGUGAAAUCCUGUGAUCCCUGGGAGACCACCAGUGGCGAAGGCGUCCAACUGGGACGGGUCUGACGGUGAGGGACGAAAGCUAGGGGCGCGAACCGGAUUAGAUACCCGGGUAGUCCUAGCCGUAAACGAUGUGAGCUAUGUGUCAGUCACACUGCGAGUAUGACUGGUGCCGUAGGGAAGCCGUGAAGCUCACCACUUGGGAAGUACGGCCGCAAGGCUGAAACUUAAAGGAAUUGGCGGGGGAGCACCACAACAGGUGGAUGCUGCGGUUU
This 885-nucleotide ribosomal RNA is filed under the name uncultured euryarchaeote. Its description in RNAcentral is "bacterial SSU rRNA". It matches the Rfam family "Archaeal small subunit ribosomal RNA", at positions 21 to 903 of the family's 1478-position model. The record is from RNAcentral. Lineage: Archaea; Methanobacteriati; Methanobacteriota.